UGGCAGCCAGUGCCCGCUCUA
This 21-nucleotide unclassified non-coding RNA is filed under the name Mus musculus (house mouse). RNAcentral's name for it is "oocyte_clustered_small_RNA11436". Lineage: Eukaryota; Metazoa; Chordata; Mammalia; Rodentia; Muridae. The record is from RNAcentral.